UUUGCUACGUGUAUUGCUUUGACAAGGAUGACCAAGGAACCAGGCUAACCUCUCAAAGACUCGUCUUUUUCCGUAACCAAACAAAUUAAAAUUAUUUGAGGCUACGGAAAUGGCCGAGUUGUUACGUAGUAGUUACAAUAUUGAACCCGAAGGUUGUAAUUUAGCCUGGUUUCCUGGCUCAGCCUAGUGUCCGCGGAGUACAUGACGCAUCACUCGGAUCACCUCGGACGAUUCCAUCUAGUUAGAUGUAGGGUACCGAAAUCUGCCGAGGUUUGACGAAUGAUGACGCAUGAGAAGAACAGGGAACCAGGCUAGAGGUAAUGAUAGGUUGGGGAAAUAAAUUCUCAACAAGGAGGAAGUCCAUUCCAAUGCAGUUUUCAGGCAGCUCUCGACAGCCCCCCCCCCCCAUCCUGGACACCAAUAGGACUUUGCCUUGGACCCGUGGAACUACACCUUCCCGUUCUGAAAUGUCUGGACCCUCCACUGCAGGAAGCAGAAAAAUGUUAAUUUUUUCAGUAGAAGAAAUCAUGAUCGGAUAGCUUUCCAGAAAAGGUCACAAAGUUCAUGGCCGUAGGAACAUGGAGGAUACUUUAAAAUCAUAAUUACUAUAUGCUUGUGCCCCUUCAAUAAUAACAUUUGAUGACUUUUUUUGGCUUGUCAAGGAAUUUUUGGUAGUGCCCCCCCCCCCAACUGAAAAUGUUUUGUUGUGCCCCCAACUGAAAUUGCUUCCUACG
Saccostrea echinata is the source of this 734-nucleotide long non-coding RNA. RefSeq lists it as uncharacterized. NCBI's taxonomy places the organism in Eukaryota, Metazoa, Mollusca, Bivalvia, Ostreida, Ostreidae. The transcript has 3 exons. The record is from RefSeq and is a predicted model, not a curated record.